UUCUAUUAGAUAAAAUUAAUAGUAAAAUCUGCUCAAUGAAUAUUAAAUAGCCGCUUUUGUGCUAAGGUAGCAUAAUAAUUUGUCUUUUAAUUAAAGACUGGAAUGAAAGAUUUCACAUCUCAAUUUAUUUUUUUAGAAAAAUUAUUAAAAUUAUCUUAAUUGUAAAAAGACAAUUAUUUAAAAGAAAGACGAUAAGACCCUAUCAAACUUUACUUUAGUUUAACUGGGGUAGUUAAUUAAUUAUAAUUUUAAGUAUAAUAAAUUAUAAAUUUGAUCUAAUCUAAUUAAUCAAAUAAUCAAGUUACUGUAGGGAUAACAGCGUAAUUAAAUUUGUAAGAUCUUAUUUAUAAUUAGGGUUGCGACCUCGAUGUUGAUUUAAUUUCCUAAUUUACGCAAUAGUAAUUUAAGGAAGUCUGUUCGACUUUUAAAAAAUUACAUGAUUUGAGUUCAGAUCGGUGUAAGCCAGGUCGGUUUCUAUCUUCUGUGAGUUUCUUGUAGUACGAAAGGACCUAAGAAAAUAAUAAUAUU
This 528-nucleotide ribosomal RNA is filed under the name Arctosa alluaudi. RNAcentral describes it as "partial 16S ribosomal RNA". The stretch from base 183 to 483 matches the Rfam family "Bacterial large subunit ribosomal RNA", at positions 2074 to 2646 of the family's 2925-position model. The record is from RNAcentral. Lineage: Eukaryota; Metazoa; Arthropoda; Arachnida; Araneae; Lycosidae.